AGGAGGAGUAAUCAUUGAUGAAGAAAACAGAAUAAAGGCUAUUUGUAUAAUAAUCACAUUCUGAUAAUGAAUCACUUUAUUCCUUAUUUCCUAUAAUACCAUAUAUAUAUAGGAAUGAACAAUAAGCAUACAAAGGAAGAUGCUGUGUCAGCCUUUCUGUGACUAUGAGGGGAAUCAAUUCUGAAAUACUGAAGCAGACAGUAACAUUGACAGAGGGAAAGAGAUGAAGGCAACUAAGAAGCCUGUGACUGCCCUGCCUUCCGACUACUAAACAUGCACUACUCUGAGUGGCCGGACUAGGAAAGGAAAUCAGAAAUAAUUCUUGAUAAGGAAUUGACAGUCCUGUGGAGGACUGAGACAAGUAACAGUCAUAUAUCCAGGAGGUAGGAGAAUGUAAACUGAGCAUCUCACCAAGGCUUUGUGUCUGAGAUACUUUUCUACGGGGGAAAAACAUGUCCAAAUUGAUACCUGAAGUUCAAACAGGACAGAGUCUAGAUAAGAGUUAGUGGACAAUUCUAGGCAGAGGAAGAGAACCUUCAAAUACUAUAUAUCAGGGGGCAAGGUGCAUUGGGAAAACACAAGAAGCUCUAAAU
RNAcentral lists this long non-coding RNA (593 nucleotides) under Callithrix jacchus (white-tufted-ear marmoset). RNAcentral's name for it is "lncRNA (ENSCJAG00000083387.1)". Lineage: Eukaryota; Metazoa; Chordata; Mammalia; Primates; Cebidae. The record is from RNAcentral.